Molecule: long non-coding RNA, 685 nt
Filed under: Capsicum annuum
Lineage: Eukaryota; Viridiplantae; Streptophyta; Magnoliopsida; Solanales; Solanaceae
Description: long non-coding RNA (CANN_LNC007105)
Source: RNAcentral
GCCUAUACACACCUAGACAAUUCCAAAGGAGAAAAAUAGAAUAUACAAACCCUCUCAUUCAUACGACCUUUCUUCUUUAGGGAUAUAGAGAGAGAGGGAGGAUACAGAAAUAGAGAAACGCCAUUUAUUCUCUCUUUUUCUUCUUCACGUACACACAACACACGGAAGACCUCCAUUUUUCUUUGUCGUUCACAUGCACACACAUGAAAUAAGGAAAAAGUGAGAGAAUGGAGGGUGAUUGAUGGAGAUUCAGUGAGAGAACAGCGAAACCGACAUGAUUGACACAGAUCCGGUGAAAAAUAGUGGAGUCGGCGAGAUCUGGUCAUGUUUCUCAAGUUUUUACGACAAACUUUUCACCUAAAUUCAUUUACAAUUCAUCGUUUAUUCUGCCCAGUCUUGAAACCCUGCGAUUUCUUUAUUUCCAAUCACUUACAAGUAGUUUCGAUCAGAAAACACCAAGGUUUCAUCGAAAUCCAUCUUGUUCUCAUUGGGUUUUUCUAUUGUUAACUCAUCGGACUUUAGUUUGUUGGGGUUCUUACCUUUUCUCUCAAUAAUUGGGUACAGAUUUUGUCGUUAAAUUUUGAUACCGAGAUGGAUUCACUCAUUUUGAGGUUUUUCUAUUGAUUCCCAAAUCUGUCUGGGUUGUCAAUUUUUGAACUUCUUUAUUAUCGAUGAAAAUGUUUUG